Molecule: long non-coding RNA, 5052 nt
Organism: Apis cerana (Asiatic honeybee)
Lineage: Eukaryota; Metazoa; Arthropoda; Insecta; Hymenoptera; Apidae
Source: RefSeq, a predicted model, not a curated record
UUUAUUUUUUUACUUUAUCGAUUAUUAUCUAAAAUAAAAAAAUUGCAUUCAGCAAUGUUUCAGAGAUUUAAACGAUUAAAAGCUUUUUCAAAUUUUGUCAUUCGAUGUGACUAGAAACGAAUGUGUACAGAUACUAUAUCAGACAAGUUAUCUUGCCAAAUACAAAGUGUCCUUACCUAAUACCUAUUCUUAUAAUUCUAAUUUUGAACAAAUUCUUUUCUAAAUAUAUAUCAGGUUGAACUAAACAUAACAUUUCGCAGGCUAUCUCGAUGAGUGCAUUUGAUUUUCUCUGUGAAAACAAUUUUGUGAAAAUUUUACGUGACAGAUUAUGAAAAAUGUGAUACUUGAAGCGAAUAUUCCAAUAAAUAUGAAAAUAGUCAUAUAGAAACAUCCGAAUAUUCAUUUAAAAAAUAUAUAUAUAUAAAAAUUGAAGAUAUUUGAAAUAAAAUAUUUAAAAUAUUUAAAUCAAUAAAUAAUUUCAUAUAUUAUAACCUUGAAUUUUCAAAGGACGUAUAACCUUCCCACAGAAAGGAUCGCACGUCGACUGUUCCAUUUCCGAUUGGAAACGCAAGAAUGUGUUUUACACGGACGUUACUUUGCGGUAACGACACCGGUUUCUAUAACUUAUGGUCAACCUUGACUUUCUAAGCAAUCUAAAAAGCGGUAACGAUGCAGCAUCCGUGAGCUAACGGUCCGGUGUCUGUAAAGAGUUUAACUGGUGGGACGCAAUAAUUCAGGUCCGUCUAUGGUCAGUGUGGAGCCAGCUGAAAGGGCUAAGAUAUUUAUGGGUUGCAGCUGAUCUUGGUCCAUGUAGAGCUUUUUCACAGUGAGAAUAAAACUAGCCCCGAUGUCAUCCAUGUCUUUCUUUCAUUGAUCUAUAUACUUAGUAUUGUUACUAUAUUUUUUUUUUAUAAUUCUGUUAGUUUAUGUAAAGAAAUCUAAUUCAAAAUUUUUUUAUUAACUAUUCAAAUUUGAAAAACUAAUUCAAAGAAGAAACCAUAAUCACUGGAGCUAACUUUCCAAUUCUCUGUUUAUCUCAAGAACUGUCUCUGCAGCUUUAUAUCAACGCAUGAUCGCAUAUGAGCACAAAAACGUUUCAAGCCAUCGGUAAUCCUUGGAAACUCGGUAUUGUAAUAUAAGUCUCUCGGAAAAACCCUUUCACGGCUAAGAGAAUUCUUUCAUCAUAAGUAUAGAUACAAUUCGAGGAAAUCUUCUUUGUGGUUCACCAUGUAGUGAAACAUACAUAAUAAAUGGCGUAUAUAAAGGGUGUUACUCGAAUCUAGGCCAAACAUAAAAUGAGAAAAAACAAAUAAAAAAUUCAUGAAACAAAAUUAGAUUCAAAGAUAUCAAGGAAUUGUAUGUUUAUCAGAAAAUGUGAUUCUUAUUGCUAUAGAAAAAAUUUAAAAUAAACAAUUUCAGAUAAACUACACAUCGAAGCAUCGAGUCACGGAUCCUUUAUCAUGUGGUAAUGCCACUGGAAGGAAAAAAAAAACAAGAAACAAGUAACCCCUUUGAGUCGAAGAGGGUACAUGCACCAAUGGUUAGAGGAGAGAAAAGAAGAGAGAGGUGUUUUGACGGGAUACGAAACGAUACUCUGGUUUCGUCUCUGUAGAAAGUUUUCUUUGACCGGAUACCGUAGGUAACGCUAAUGGAAGUUGGUGCAACAUUCGAAGGUGGUAGCUCGUGAAACGCGAUCAGGAUUUAACCCUCCGCGAUUCCCUCCCCGCCAGCUUUGCUAUCCGUAAUCCGCCUACGUCGAGUGGACACAGUGAGCGCACAAUAUCGAAGAAAUCCCUCACUCGGUUCCCUUGUUACUCACGCCAUAUGUGGUCCAAUUCGAACAGGCUCGUGGCAGUAUUACUAUUUUCGUCACGUGUCGUUACCUGACACGAGAUCGAGUUUCGCCGUUAGCUAACUUAGAUUGUUUCUUUUUCUCUUCUUCUUUUUCUCUUAUUCUCUUUUGUUUUGAUUCGAAAAUGUCAUAAAACGGUGUUUUCUAAUUUGUCCUGAGAUUAUUUUUUAUAAUAUUUAUAAUUUUUGAGUAACUUGCGUUUUUCUUUUAUCAAUGGGAAGUAAGGAAAUUUGGAAAAAUUAAUGAUAAUAAUGUUAGAUAUUAAAAAAAUUGAGAGUUAUUAUUAAAUAAAAAUAAGAGAAUUGAAAAUACUCUGCGAUUAGAUUAAAAAUUUGCUAUGGCAGAGAUUGCAUAAAAAGCACGUGUUUGUUUUUUUUUGAUUAAAAAAUGUUAAUAUGCAAAGAACUCGCGUACAAACUGAAAUAUUUAUAUAAUUUUAGUUAUUUUAGUUUAUUAUGUUUAUAUAAAAAAUAUAUUUAAAGUGAUUCAAUAUCUAAAGGAAGAAGAGAUAGCAACAUUUCCGCAGUCAUUUAUUGAAUUUCCGUGUUAUUGGUAAGAUACGUGUCAAACGAAGCAAAGUUAACACAGAUUUAAACUAGUUUGCUCGUUGACCAAUGCGUAAUCCUCAGGGAUUUGACACGUUCGAAUCAUGUGUUGGGGAAAUAACCACCGGUCUGGCAAACGGAGAAUCAACUUCCUGUGUUCUCGUCGCAUGCGCUCGACCUGACCAGUCGUAACGUAUUUAAAUGAGAUUGAUGCAUCGUUUCCUCUUAAACGACCACUGAUUGAAAGAAUGUGAAAAAUUGUUUUCACGUUCAGCCAUGCCUGCAUUUUUUUUUAAAUUUUAUUAAAAAUUGGAUUUUUCAAAUCGACGAUCAGAUAUCCAUAAAACAUGAUAAAAUUAUUAUAAAAAAUUUUAUCAAAUUAUAAAUCGUUUUACACAUAUUUUAUAUGUAUUUACACAGUAUUACAUUACAUUAAAAAAAAUCAAUAUCAAUCAAUAUCAAUAAAUCUUUUCAAACAUGAUUCUAUACAAAAAAAAAGAAAAAACAAAUUAAAUUCGUAUUUAUUAUUACAGAUAUUCACAAAAAGCAAGGAAAUAAAAAUACCAAUAAUCAUCCAAAGAAGAUGUAAUUAGUAAGAGAGAAAAGUUAUGAAAUCUUUGCUCAUUUAUCCGCUUACAAGAUACAAACAUCUUUCAACGGUAUCCUGUAACACGUGUUUGGUAUUUCAACAAGGAUCAGGGAACGAAUACGUCAUCAGGUGACCAGAUUUUGUGCGACAGAGAUCCGGAAUUUCAGAAGGCGGACGAACGAUACAGUUACAAGAUUUCAAGUUAAUGCGCAUUUGAUUUAUUAGGGCACGGCAAAAAAUCUACCCUUGACUCAUAACCCUUAUUUGACUCACAAGUCUCAGGUCAUCCUUAAAGAAAAUCGUGGCUCAAUAGUACCGCAGCCAAUAACGAGAACCAUUUGGAAUCUCUAUUGUUAAAUCAGAAACGCAACAAGCUUCUAGUGCAACUUCAGUUUUCGGAAAGGAAACCAUCAUUUUUAACCCAGCAUGAGACACCCUGUGUCCUUUUGUACAUAUGGUGAAGGUAUUGCAUCAAUAAUAGAUCAAGUUCUUGUUUCUAAAUUCGAGGAAUCUUGUGUGAUCUCGAGAUGCUCACAAUGUUUCUUAUUCUUUUAAUAAGUAGUAAGUUAAUUGUAAAAUAGUUUUGUUUCGAUUUUAUUAUAAAGCAUCAUACAGUAUGAUGAGUCUGAUGAAUUGGUCUGUCCUUGUUCAUUUUCUUUUUGCUAUUUUUUUGAUUGAAAUUGAAUGUAAGAUAAAAUUUGAAAAGAAAUUAUUUAUUAAUUCUGAAUAGAUAACCUGUCUGGUUAAUGUUUAAAUUUUAUUUUCGCUGAUAAGUAUUUGGAAUAUUUGAUUGGAUGAAUGAAGUAGAGAUCUAGAUUAGUGCAAAAAAUAUUCAUGCCUAUGGGGAAUAAAAGUGUUAUAAUCAGUGAAAUUGGCACAAGUAAGAAAUUUAUAUCUUAAAUCAUGAGAAAUGUAUAUUUCAAGCGUUGAAAGAAUCGAAUAUUUAUGGGUUAAAUAUAGAUACCUAAAAGAAAAAUAUAAUAAUGGGUGCAAAAUCGUGAAACAGAAACCAUAAAUGCCAUGCACCGCGAUGUGUCGUGCAUAUAACCAGCAUUUCAACAUCUGCCAUCAGACCACUAACAGGCUGACAGGCUGACCACGCAUUUGCGCAACUGUCGCCUCGUCGCUUCUCGGCCUGAUCGUUUAUAAGCUGUCCAAUGACCGAUGAUAAUGAUAAUUUUCAGCUUCCAAAGAGGUGUCACCCAGAUGUUACGCGCUAUCAAAGCGCAUUAUCGGCUGCGUUGGAUAGAGGCAAUGCAACGAGAAUUACAUAUGUAGAGCUCGAGUUUGUAUAAUUAUGAUCAUGUGGCAAUUGUAAAGCCAUAAUGGUAAAGGAUGAAUUCGAUUGAAAGAUUGUUUUAGUUUAGUUUUUGAUAUUAAUUAUUUAAAUAUCUAGACUCUUUGCAAAUAUUCGAUCGAAAAAUAUCGAACAGUGCCAUUGCAUUUUUCCUGUCAAAGAAUGUCUCGAUUUUCAUUGAGACCAGUGCAGUCAAUUUGACUUUAUGACAUUUUUAGGCUAAUUAUCGGUCCAUAGAUGGAUCACGCUUGUUUGGCUUUCAAAUGGUUAACAAGAGAUCUAUUGAGAUAUAGAAUUGCAUUGGAAAUGAAAUUUCACAUUUCUAUUUAAAAAUUAGAAACUGUUUUUAUCGAGCGAUAGGGUAUUGUCAGAGAAGUUAUUAAUUGCCAUUUCUUUUUAUCUUUGCACAGGAUUCUUUUGCAAGAGCAAAGGGUGGCAAAGACAAAUUUAUCCGAGGAAAAGUUAGGCGUAUUCGAGACACAAGUUCUCAAGGGGAGAUAGCAGCUCGAGGAUAGACGCAAAGCUGUCUAAUGGUGUCACCUGAGAUCAUAAUGGAUGGCGGUCGAGAAUAAAGACUUACUUAUUCCAUCGAAACGACGUGUUCUCCUGCAUUUUUCUUAACUUUUGAUGAGACAACAAAUUAAAAAAAAAAAUGAAUAUGUUGAUUUUUCCAUGUAAUUUCACGUUAUGACUUAAUGAUCAAAUGAUCUUAUAGUCUGAAAUAAAAAAAUAUUAUAAAUAUUGAUAUAUUCCAAUAUUAAUAAUACAA